Molecule: long non-coding RNA, 334 nt
Filed under: Olea europaea (common olive)
Lineage: Eukaryota; Viridiplantae; Streptophyta; Magnoliopsida; Lamiales; Oleaceae
Description: long non-coding RNA (OEUR_LNC012012)
Source: RNAcentral
GAGGAUGUUGACCUGUGGAAUGGUCUUACAUCGCUUCAUUGGUAUAAUGAUUUCCAUGUUCGGUAUUAAUAUUCUUGUUGGACCGGAUCAUGUAACGUAAGGUGUCAUCAUUGGAGCUAUAUUUUUGUGACCACCUAUGUAGUCUAACCCGGGUAUUAAAACUUUGUUAUGACAAUCAAAUUUGUCCAAGUGAGAGAAUGUUGGAAUAAUUAAUAAUUUCAUAUGUGGGCUUCACAUUCGAUUGCAAAUUUUAUGGGUUAGAUGUAUGGCUCAUAAUGAUAUUUGUGUUUGGGUCAAAUUUAUUAAGUGAUCAAUUGGGUCUUUUACACCUUAC